CUCUAGAGGGAAGCACUUUCUGUUGUCUGAAAGAAACCAAAGCGCUUCCCUUUGGAGCG
This 59-nucleotide microRNA precursor is filed under the name Homo sapiens (human). Its description in RNAcentral is "Hsa-Mir-430-P38_pre stem-loop". It matches the Rfam family "mir-515 microRNA precursor family", at positions 16 to 74 of the family's 87-position model. Lineage: Eukaryota; Metazoa; Chordata; Mammalia; Primates; Hominidae. The record is from RNAcentral.